UACAGAGGUGGCAAGCGUUGUUCGGAAUUACUGGGCGUAAAGGGCGCGUAGGCGGCCAUCUAAGUCAGACGUGAAAUCCCCAGGCUCAACCUGGGAACUGCGUCCGAUACUGGCAGGCUUGAAUCCGGGAGAGGGAUGUGGAAUUCCAGGUGUAGCGGUGAAAUGCGUAGAUAUCUGGAGGAACACCGGUGGCGAAGGCGGCAUCCUGGACCGGUAUUGACGCUGAGGCGCGAAAGCUAGGGGAGCAAACGGG
RNAcentral lists this ribosomal RNA (253 nucleotides) under uncultured bacterium. Its description in RNAcentral is "partial 16S ribosomal RNA". It matches the Rfam family "Bacterial small subunit ribosomal RNA", at positions 524 to 776 of the family's 1533-position model. The record is from RNAcentral.